This 466-nucleotide ribosomal RNA is filed under the name uncultured bacterium. RNAcentral's name for it is "partial 16S ribosomal RNA". It matches the Rfam family "Bacterial small subunit ribosomal RNA", at positions 29 to 507 of the family's 1533-position model. The record is from RNAcentral.
ACGAACGCUGGCGCGUGCUUAACACAUGCAAGUCGAACGGAAAGGCCCUGCUUUUGUGGGGUGCUCGAGUGGCGAACGGGUGAGUAACACGUGAGUAACCUGCCCUUGACUUUGGGAUAACUUCAGGAAACUGGGGCUAAUACCGGAUAGGAGCUCCUGCUGCAUGGUGGGGGUUGGAAAGUUUCGGCGGUUGGGGAUGGACUCGCGGCUUAUCAGCUUGUUGGUGGGGUAGUGGCUUACCAAGGCUUUGACGGGUAGCCGGCCUGAGAGGGUGACCGGCCACAUUGGGACUGAGAUACGGCCCAGACUCCUACGGGAGGCAGCAGUGGGGAAUAUUGCACAAUGGGCGGAAGCCUGAUGCAGCAACGCCGCGUGCGGGAUGACGGCCUUCGGGUUGUAAACCGCUUUCGCCUGUGACGAAGCGUGAGUGACGGUAAUGGGUAAAGAAGCACCGGCUAACUACGUG